CCUACGGGAGGCAGCAGUGAGGAAUAUUGGUCAAUGGACGAGAGUCUGAACCAGCCAAGUAGCGUGAAGGAUGACUGCCCUAUGGGUUGUAAACUUCUUUUAUAUGGGAAUAAAACGUUCCACGUGUGGGAUUUUGUAUGUACCAUAUGAAUAAGGAUCGGCUAACUCCGUGCCAGCAGCCGCGGUAAUACGGAGGAUCCGAGCGUUAUCCGGAUUUAUUGGGUUUAAAGGGAGCGUAGGUGGAUUGUUAAGUCAGUUGUGAAAGUUUGCGGCUCAACCGUAAAAUUGCAGUUGAAACUGGCAGUCUUGAGUACAGUAGAGGUGGGCGGAAUUCGUGGUGUAGCGGUGAAAUGCUUAGAUAUCACGAAGAAAUCCGAUUGCGAAGGCAGUUCACUGGACUGCAACUGACACUGAGGCUCGAAAGUGUGGGUAUCAAACAGGAUUAGAUACCCGAGUAGUC
RNAcentral lists this ribosomal RNA (460 nucleotides) under uncultured bacterium. RNAcentral describes it as "partial 16S ribosomal RNA". It matches the Rfam family "Bacterial small subunit ribosomal RNA", at positions 338 to 795 of the family's 1533-position model. The record is from RNAcentral.